This 400-nucleotide ribosomal RNA is filed under the name uncultured bacterium. RNAcentral's name for it is "bacterial SSU rRNA". It matches the Rfam family "Bacterial small subunit ribosomal RNA", at positions 355 to 746 of the family's 1533-position model. The record is from RNAcentral.
UGGGGAAUAUUGGACAAUGGGGGGAACCCUGAUCCAGCCAUGCCGCGUGUGUGAAGAAGGUCUUCGGAUUGUAAAGCACUUUAAGUUGGGAGGAAGAGCUCCGGGCUAAUACCCUGCGAGUUUUGACGUUACCAACAGAAUAAGCACCGGCUAACUUCGUGCCAGCAGCCGCGGUAAUACGAAGGGUGCGAGCGUUAAUCGGAAUUACUGGGCGUAAAGCGCGCGUAGGUGGUUUGUUAAGUUGGAAGUGAAAGCCCCGGGCUCAACCUGGGAAUUGCUUUCAAAACUGACGGGCUAGAGUACGGUAGAGGGUAGUGGAAUUUCCUGUGUAGCGGUGAAAUGCGUAGAUAUAGGAAGGAACAUCAGUGGCGAAGGCGACUACCUGGACUGAUACUGACAC